ACUAUUUUUUGGGAGAAAGGAAAAGUUAACUGUUUUCCUUGACGUACUGACCAGAAGCCCGGCUAGUUCGUGCCGCACCGCGGUAUAUGAGGGGCAAGCGUAUCGGAUUUAUUGGGCGUAAAGCAACGCAGCCGUUUUUAAGUUGAUGUAAAUCCCUGGCUCAACUGGGAAGGCAUUGAAACUGGAAACUAGAGUCUGUAGAGGAGAGUGGAAUUCCAUUGUAGCGUGAAAUGCGUAGAUAUAUGAGGACACCAGUGCGAAGGCGACUCCUGGUCAGAACUGACGCUGAGGCUCGAAAGCGUGGGAGCAAACAGGAUUAGAUACCCUGGUAGUCCACGCCUAAACGAUGACGACUAAGAGUUGGAGGCUUUUCACCAUUGAGUGCGGAAGUUAACGCAUAAAUCAAUCCGCCUGGGGGGUAGGUCCGAAGGGUAGAAAUUAAAUGAAAUGAAGGGGGGCCGCCCCAACCGUGGGGCCAUUGGUUUAAAUUGGUACCAAGCGAAGGAACUUACCCAGCUUUUCCCUUCCAUGGACAAUCUCGGGGAUAGGUCGUGCCUUUCGGGAAUAAGAUGCCGGACACUCCUGGGUCUUGGCCGUCUUCAGUUGGGAAAGUUGGGGUUAGGUCCGGAACGGGCGGCAACCCCAACCUUUGUUUCCAGGCAGUAAGGUGGGGAAUUUAAAGGAGACUGCCGGGGACAAACCGGAGGAAGGUGGGGAGGACGUCAAGUCUUCAUGGCCUUUAGGCGUAGGGUUCCCCACGUCUUCCAAUGGUAGUUACAAAGGGCGGCCAACCCGGGAGGGGAAGCUAUCUUCAAAAAGCAUUUUCUAGUCCGGAUUGGGUCUGCAAUUGGAUUCCGUGAAGUGGGAAUCGUUGGUAAUGGGGGAUCAGAAUGCCGCGGGGAAUACGUUCCCGGUUCUUGUCCCCCCGCCCGUCCCCCCCGGGGGGUGGGUCACCCAGAAGUGGGUAGGUAACCUUAAGGAGGCGCUACCACGUGGAUCA
This 1000-nucleotide ribosomal RNA is filed under the name Trichococcus flocculiformis. RNAcentral describes it as "bacterial SSU rRNA". It matches the Rfam family "Bacterial small subunit ribosomal RNA", at positions 432 to 1467 of the family's 1533-position model. Lineage: Bacteria; Bacillati; Bacillota; Bacilli; Lactobacillales; Carnobacteriaceae. The record is from RNAcentral.